RNA transcript from Neoarius graeffei (lesser salmon catfish), 1273 nucleotides. It is a transcript of the gene named CD9 molecule a, with no coding region annotated. NCBI's taxonomy places the organism in Eukaryota, Metazoa, Chordata, Actinopteri, Siluriformes, Ariidae. The record is from RefSeq and is a predicted model, not a curated record. The transcript has 9 exons.
GAGGAGGAGAGAGGAGGAAGAGGAGAGGAGGAGUCACUCGCUGUGGGGCGCUCGCGCAGUUUGGACGGGAAGUCGGAGUGAAACGGGAGCGCGUGAGCCGCGGUCUCCUAAAAAACACUGAUUAAAAAUAUCUCCAUUUACACAGAGAGAGAGGGAGGGAGAGAGAGAGAGAGAGGGAGAGAGAGAGAUGGCGGCUCUGACCGGAGGAGAGAUGUGCGUCAAGUACUUAAUGUUCGCCUUCAAUUUCAUGUUCUGGCUGGCAGGCACAGGUGUGUUGGCUGUGGGUCUCUGGCUCAGAUUUGAUCCCAGAACUAAAAAUCUGGUUGAAGGUGACGACUCCCCAAGUGGCUUCUACACAGUGGUAUGUAUCCUCAUAGCUAUAGGAGGACUGAUGAUGCUGGUCGGGUUCCUCGGCUGCUGCGGCGCCAUUCAGGAGUCGGUGUGCAUGCUGGGAUUGUUUUUCUUCUUCCUACUGCUUAUCUUUGUUGUGGAAGUGGCUGUUGGAGUUUGGGGAUUUUCCAUCCAGAGCAAGUUUGUUGAUGAAGUCACUCAGUUCUACAAGGCAACUUACAAGAAAUACAAAGAGGACAAACAGGAAGCUCUGAGAGAGACGCUGCAUCUGAUCCAGUACGGGCUGAACUGCUGUGGACCCUUCAGCUCCGAGGACACAGAUGCUCUAGAGGAGACUUGUCCUAAACGUGAGGGACUGGACGUGCUCAUCACCAAGAGCUGCCCUGAUGCUAUUGAGAAAUUCUUCACCUCUAAACUUCACAUUAUUGGAGGCGUCGGAGUCGUAAUGGGAGUGAUCAUGCUCCUGGGCAUGAUCUUCAGCAUGCUGCUGCUGUGUGCCAUCAGGAAGAGUCAGGAGAUCGUCUGAGGUGCUUUAUGCGAAACGUGCCGUGUUUGUGUUGCAUGAUCUCCAUCCCGAAGCUCUCUCCGUCACCGCCGCUGUCACUGCACAGCUCAUCCUCUGAUUGGGUGCCAAUAAUUUUUAAGGGUACUGUAGGUCAGAAGAUGAAUGUGUGUGUGUGUGUGUGUGAGAGAGAGAUUGUGAUCAGGACCUCAGUCAGCAGAUCAGUAAUGAGGAAUCUCCAGGAAACACUAAUGAACUCAACUUCAUCACGACGAUAAUCACGACGACGACUCACACAUUAAUCUGAAGUUCCUGAUUCUCCAUUUUCCUGAAAAACUUUUAAAUUAUUCAGAAGCCUCACAGAUUAAUGCAACAUUUAUAUAUUUAUAUUUAAAAUCUAUUAAAAAGAUUUGACUUGAA